UGGUUUCUCUCAGAUCAUAUAAAUCUUUCGCCUUUUACUAAAGAUUUCCGUGGAGAGGUUUAAAAAA
Molecule: small nuclear RNA, 67 nt
Filed under: Echinops telfairi (small Madagascar hedgehog)
Lineage: Eukaryota; Metazoa; Chordata; Mammalia; Afrosoricida; Tenrecidae
Description: U5 spliceosomal RNA (ENSETEG00000025696.1)
Rfam family: U5 spliceosomal RNA
About the family: U5 RNA is a component of both types of known spliceosome.
Source: RNAcentral